Molecule: ribosomal RNA, 279 nt
Filed under: uncultured bacterium
Lineage: Bacteria
Description: partial 16S ribosomal RNA
Rfam family: Bacterial small subunit ribosomal RNA
Source: RNAcentral
UGCCAGCCGCCGCGGUAACACGGAGGGUGCAAGCGUUGUUCGGAAUUGUUGGGCGUAAAGCGCGUGUAGGCGGUUCGUUAAGUCUGAUGUGAAAUCCCGGGGCUUAACCCCGGAACUGCCCUCAAAACUGUCGAUCUAGAGACCGGGAGAGGUAAGCGGAAUUCCUGGUGUAGAGGUGAAAUUCGUAGAUAUUAGGAAGAACACCAGUGGCGAAGGCGACUACCUGGACCGAUAUUGACACUGAGGUGCGAAAGCGUGGGGAGCAAACAGGAUUAGAUA